Molecule: long non-coding RNA, 569 nt
Organism: Aricia agestis (brown argus)
Lineage: Eukaryota; Metazoa; Arthropoda; Insecta; Lepidoptera; Lycaenidae
Exons: 3
Source: RefSeq, a predicted model, not a curated record
UUGUUUGGUACGAAGAUACUUGAGUCCCGGGAAAAGAGAAAGCCAGAAAGGAUACUUUUGUUCCAAAAAAUCUACGAUUUCUGGCGCAACAGAAUUGCAGACGUCACCUAGUUAUAGGUAUAAAUUGCAUUUUACUUAUCAUAGAUUUAAAAAACCCUAUAAGACUUCCGAUACAAAGUUCCAAAUCCGCAUCAAGAUUCAAUAUAAAGGAACUGUAGCGUAGUUUACCAAAGACUAACUUUUUUCUACAACCUUGCAAAUGCUAUUGUUAAGUUAAAGGUAUAUAAACAGACGAUUCCAAUCGGAAGACACAGUUUUGGUGUAGACGCAAGCAUCAACUCACUAUUCAAUAUGCCUUCGCCUUGUGAACCAUGCAAAGAAUCCUGCAAAGAUGGAGCCGACUGUAAAAAUGACUGUAGCUGCGACGACGACUGCACCGACUGCCCCACCACUGGAAAAUGCGGCUGAAGUGGACAUCGAAUGAUGAAAAGUCAUCAUCAUGCAGAGACACACCUACUGUUCAUGAUUAACUAGGAAAUUUUAAAAUCAAUAAAUGUUUGUUGCUAUUA